This 24-nucleotide microRNA is filed under the name Eptesicus fuscus (big brown bat). RNAcentral describes it as "efu-miR-27b". Its record names the gene efu-miR-27b. The record is from miRBase by way of RNAcentral. Lineage: Eukaryota; Metazoa; Chordata; Mammalia; Chiroptera; Vespertilionidae.
GUUCACAGUGGCUAAGUUCUGCAC